GGGUCCCUGUGUCUGCUGCUGCUUUGGACAGAGAUUUGGCUAUUUACUGAAAACCAAGGUGUAAAGGGGCAGCACCAGCUCUGGGCUGUGUGUGAGAGCUGCCUGCAGGGUCAUGGCUGGGAUGGUCCAGCUGCUGCCCUCCAGCUCUGUGGUCUUACCCAGUCUGCAAAGGAGCUGGGGGAAGGUGGGGGAGCCUCAUGAUCUUCCCAAAGGGCUUUGGGCUCCCUUCACAGCAAGAGCCGUGCUGAGGCUGAGUGCUGUCAGCACUGCUGCUGCUGGGAAUGCUGCUUUGGCCCCUGGAUCAGCGGCUGUCUCGUUGUGCCUGUGCUACACGUAGUUUUGACUGGAGCUGGGAGCGGUUUCUCUGCUCUUUCAUAGUUUGCCUUCUCCUUUGCACGUCUCCAGCAGGAAGUGCAGAUUCAGCAGGCAUUGUAUGCCUCAGCAGCCUGCCAGCUGCCUUGCUGAAGCUAAUUCACAAUUCAAGUCACUCCUGAUAAGUUUGCAAACAAUGUGCAGUGAUUUCUGAGCUAGAUAGCAGCUGAGCCCAACUCCUCCACUUGAAGCUUGUCAGCUGGACAGAGCUCUGCACUCACCUAGGGAAGCUCAUGGGUCAAACGUGGCCCCGAUAUUUUGUGCAUCUGUGAUGUUUCAUAAACUUCUUAUUUGUUUAGGUGUAGCUUUGAGUGUCAUCAUUAUUAUUGAAACCCUUGAGUGUGUGGAGACACAAAAAGCUCGUAUGUUUAGUGUUGGUUGAACAUGAGUUAGAAAUUGAAUCCAGGACUUCUGACCUGCAGUUCAGUUCUUUGAUCACUGGAUAAUUUUGUUACCCCCUUUAUAACACACUGGAAUAGCCUGGGAAUUUCACUGGGAAUAACUCCAGUGAAAACAAGAGCGACAUUUUUUAUUUCAGCUAACUUCAUGUGGCAGCCACUGGAAGUGUGCUCUGAGGAAGUGGCCCAGAGGAAGAGACUUUGCACUCGUGGCUCAUCAGCCCUGGCAGGAAACAGGUCAAAGUUAGAAGGACUCAAAAGCUAAUGAGUGAGUGGUGCAGCAAGCAGUGCAAGAAAGCAAGGCUCCACAGUCAGCAGGGGAGCUUGGGCUUCUCUGUCUCUAUCCUUAUUCCACUUCCUCUCUUCUUGUUCACGUCCAUUUAACCAAAGAGAUGCCAAGGUGAUGAUCUGUCAGAUGAGAAUUUGUAGGUGAGACUGUGCCCUCUCCUCAUCUGAGCAAGCUCCCUCUGGAAAAUGAGGCUGGUGCAGAAAACACACUGUUUAAUCUUCCUCAGUAUGUUUUUAUGAAAUUAAAUUAAAUCCUCAUGACUCUAUAUCUCAGCUUGGCAGAUACUGGGUUUUUUUUUUUUCAGACAUGUGUAAAGUCAGUAGUCAAGAUGUAGCAGCCUAAAACUGCAGGGUUUGACCAUUCUGUGCAAAAAUUGGUACAAUACAGUGGCAGAAACAGGAAUAUGUUAUAUGACAGAUGAUAGCAGAGAUUUUUUCCCCUAGGUAGGCUUUGGGAAGCUCUCCUUGGUGCACCUUCCAAAGGGCACAAGGUCACAUCACAAAGCAGGCUUACCUUUUGGAGUGUAUUUGUCUCUGUGCCAUGAGUUGGGUCGGGCUUUUUUUACUCCUCCUUUAGUAUUGGAAUUGAAAAUUCAAUUUGGAGAAAUGUGAAAGCAAUUGGGCCUAAUCCAUUCCUGUUGUUACUCUUUUUGUUUUCACUGGAGCUACUCCAAGGCUGAAUUCAGCUUAUGAUGAACAACUUGUUCUCCAAAGCUGGAACUUAGGGGAGAAGGUUUUAGGGAUGAUCACGCAAUUCUGGGGCUCCCUCUCAAACAGCUGAAGCUCCCACAAGAGGGAUGAUAUUUGGUGAGUUCAGAUUAUUGAAUUUAGUACAGCAUUCUAGUAAUAAGCCCUCUAGUCAUAAUAAGACAUUAUUAUCCCUUAGAAGAAUUACUUGAAUAAAACCCAACUGCUUGCUUAGAUUAGAUGGAAAAAUCCUGUUGAUCUCAUUUACCAGUGAGCUGCACAGACACCAACCCAGAGCAAACACAAAUGGUUCUGAGCCUGGUAAUCCUCAUCCUGCUCCCUGUCCUCUCAUCCUCUCUGGGACCAGCCCCUCCAGGGCUGCUCCCUGUGAAAUGUUCACUGCUCUCUGUGCACUGACCAUCUCAUCUGCCGCCCAGAGAAGUCUCCAAAGAUGUUACAAGCCCUAAUUCUGUCUUGGUUAGAUAGAAAAAGGAGGGUGCUACAAGCUAUGGAGAAGCUGAAUGCUACUAGCUGAGGACUUGGUGCUGUUUAUUUGAGUUUGGGGUGGACAGGUUGUUUGUUUGUUGUUUUUUUUUUUUUCAGGAUCAAGGAUAUUGCUGUUAAGAACUAAGAUGAAACUCUUUACAAAUUUGCAAGAUGAACCAGUCCUCACUGCUGGUUAAUUCCUCCUGUGUUCCUGUGAGCUGCUGGAGGGGUCAUGGCAGAGGCAAGAUCCCCAUGAGCUCCAUAAAUGCUCUGUGUCCUAGAGAGGUUGUGACUGGUCUGGGGGCUGCUGGUCAGACCUGUCUGCAGAGGCCACUGGACCUGAGAGCAUCGAGGGGCACAUCAGGACCAGGCCCUGGCUGCCAGACCAGAAGGAUCCCUGGGGUUGCCUGAAUGUGAUCUCCCACCAGUGACCAUCGAAGGUCUUGGAGCCCUGCAAGUCCUCAUCAAAGACUGAGACUCCACUUCUCAUUGCCAAGCAGAUGGGGCUGUUGAUCAUGGUUUGAAAAGGCACUGUCAAAAGAUGGAGACACUAACAGGAAGAAUUCAAAGCUGUGAGAAAAGACUGAGAAAUAGUGAAUGUCCUUAAUUUUUUAAUAUCUCAUUAUUUUCAGACGUAAGAGUGUUGUGCCAGAUGCACCAAAUAGACACCUGGGACCCCGAUGUCACACAGAAAAGGUGCUGGGCUGUGAUUCCAGCGUUCCAGCCUUUUGCUGUGCAUCCCACCAUGUGUGCAUGUCUGGAAGCCUCUGUCAGCAACGGUGGGACAGCUCUGGAAUACACUGCUAAAAAACUUUCCUCUUGCAAUGAUAUCUUACUUCUUUUUCUAUUCCUCCUGUAACUGCCAGUGCAGCAGUGGAUCUGCUCCGACAGAAGGGAUUGUUCUCCACGUGUCUGUGAUGCCUCAGGUUUUAGCUUCUAUAUUUUUCAGAUUCUGUACUGCUUUCUGUACUGCUUCUGAGCUUCAUAUGAGGGGAUGGUAAGCUUUCUUCACAGAGUAGGUAGACAAAAAAAUUCCUUCUCUAACUUGGGACCAAGGACAACUGACCCAAGUUUCAGGCCCAAGAGCAUAAACAACAUGGACUGAAGAGAGAAAAACAAGAAUGGGACAAUUAACUCCAAUAUGGAAAUGGAGCAGAACUUAUAAAAGUGAGUGACCCCGUGAGCCAUCAUGCAUUUUGUGACCAUUUUGUUUCAUCUU
Molecule: non-coding RNA, 3450 nt
Organism: Taeniopygia guttata (zebra finch)
Lineage: Eukaryota; Metazoa; Chordata; Aves; Passeriformes; Estrildidae
Source: RefSeq, a predicted model, not a curated record